Molecule: long non-coding RNA, 441 nt
Filed under: Homo sapiens (human)
Lineage: Eukaryota; Metazoa; Chordata; Mammalia; Primates; Hominidae
Description: non-protein coding lnc-GPR179-3:1
Source: RNAcentral
AUCCGGCUCUCAGGCCUCGGGCGGCCGGUCUCUGUCCGCACCCUCUCCAUACUGGAGACAAAAAGGCAAAGUCCUCCGAGAAGGUGAGAUGGGAAGGUUCAGGAGAGCCCUAACCCGGACCCUGCACAAAAUAGUGCCUAUUUAUAGAAUUAACUAGAACCCGCAGCAGACACGGACAUGGUCCCGGGCCCCAGUCUCUCCCAUGAGCAGCCAUCAAGCAAGCGGGGGCGGGGUGCAUGAACGUGGCAUCCACCGUCCCCAGGUGUCCGCCUCGGCCCCCCAACUCUGCCCCGGAGCCAGGAGAACAAAGGCUUCUCGCUCUCCCUCCACCUGGAGGAGGGGGUCGUGUCCCACACACCAGGGCCAGGUGAGGGAUGCCUCAUGGGCCAGGGUCCCUGAAAGGGCAGGGCGUUUAAUGGGCUAACAGAAGAGGACUGGAGA